UACGGGGGGGGCAAGCGUUGUUCGGAAUUACUGGGCGUAAAGGGCUCGUAGGUGGCCAACUAAGUCAGACGUGAAAUCCCUCGGCUUAACCGGGGAACUGCGUCUGAUACUGGAUGGCUUGAGUUUGGGAGAGGGACGCGGAAUUCCAGGUGUAGCGGUGAAAUUCGUAGAUAUUGGGAAGAACACCGGUGGCGAAGGCGGCGACCUGGUCCUUGACUGACGCUGAGGCGCGAAAGCGUGGGGAGCAAACAGG
This 253-nucleotide ribosomal RNA is filed under the name uncultured bacterium. RNAcentral's name for it is "partial 16S ribosomal RNA". It matches the Rfam family "Bacterial small subunit ribosomal RNA", at positions 524 to 776 of the family's 1533-position model. The record is from RNAcentral.